RNAcentral lists this ribosomal RNA (253 nucleotides) under uncultured bacterium. RNAcentral's name for it is "partial 16S ribosomal RNA". It matches the Rfam family "Bacterial small subunit ribosomal RNA", at positions 524 to 776 of the family's 1533-position model. The record is from RNAcentral.
GACGAAGGGGGCUAGCGUUGUUCGGAAUUACUGGGCGUAAAGCGUGCGCAGGCGGUUCGCCAAGUCAGGUGUGAAAUCCCCGGGCUUAACCUGGGAAUUGCGCUUGAAACUAGCGGGCUUGAGUGUGGCAGAGGGGGGUGGAAUUCCACGUGUAGCAGUGAAAUGCGUAGAGAUGUGGAGGAACACCGAUGGCGAAGGCAGCCCCCUGGGUCAACACUGACGCUCAUGCACGAAAGCGUGGGGAGCAAACAGG